Molecule: unclassified non-coding RNA, 237 nt
Filed under: Hevea brasiliensis (rubber tree)
Lineage: Eukaryota; Viridiplantae; Streptophyta; Magnoliopsida; Malpighiales; Euphorbiaceae
Source: RNAcentral
UUCACCAGUAAACCGCGCGCGAAACCCGCUCAAUCAAAGCUAAGAUGCGCUCCCACCAAAGCUCUGAAGCUAAAGUGCGCUUUUUCUUGAUAUAUACUCUGUAUAUUUUUUAAUCCAGUGUCUGUUUCUUUGGGUUGCUUCCUUUCUACUAGUUUGUGUUUUCAAGUCACUGGCUUGUCAUGUCUCUGUUGAGUGUCUAGAAAUAUUUUUAGGUGAAGAGAAAAGAGAGAGAAAGAG